GCGAGAGUGGUGGAACUGGUAUACACGUACGGCUUAGGACCGUAUGCCUUCGGCAUGGGGGUUCAAGUCCCCCCUCUCGCA
RNAcentral lists this transfer RNA (81 nucleotides) under Deltaproteobacteria bacterium. Its description in RNAcentral is "tRNA-Leu". It matches the Rfam family "tRNA". Rfam says of the family: Transfer RNA (tRNA) molecules are approximately 80 nucleotides in length. Their secondary structure includes four short double-helical elements and three loops (D, anti-codon, and T loops). The record is from RNAcentral. Lineage: Bacteria; Pseudomonadati; Myxococcota; Myxococcia.